UACGAAGGGUGCAAACGUUGCUCGGAAUCAUUGGGCGUAAAGCGCGCGCAGGCGGUCUUCCAAGUCAGUGGUGAAAGCCCGGAGCUCAACUCCGGAACUGCCAUUGAAACUGUAAGACUUGAGUACGAGAGAGGUGAGUGGAAUUCCCAGUGUAGAGGUGAAAUUCGUAGAUAUUGGGAAGAACACCGGUGGCGAAGGCGGCUCACUGGCUCGUAACUGACGCUCAGGCGCGACAGCGUGGGGAUCAAACAGG
This 253-nucleotide ribosomal RNA is filed under the name uncultured bacterium. RNAcentral describes it as "partial 16S ribosomal RNA". It matches the Rfam family "Bacterial small subunit ribosomal RNA", at positions 524 to 776 of the family's 1533-position model. The record is from RNAcentral.